Molecule: ribosomal RNA, 549 nt
Filed under: uncultured Glomus
Lineage: Eukaryota; Fungi; Glomeromycota; Glomeromycetes; Glomerales; Glomeraceae
Description: SSU rRNA
Rfam family: Eukaryotic small subunit ribosomal RNA
Source: RNAcentral
UUGGAGGGCAAGUCUGGUGCCAGCAGCCGCGGUAAUUCCAGCUCCAAUAGCGUAUAUUAAAGUUGUUGCAGUUAAAAAGCUCGUAGUUGAAUUUCGGGAUCAAUGGAUCGGUCAUGCCGUUGGUACGUACUGGUUUUAUUGAUUCUCACCUUCUAAAGAACCAUGAUGGCAUUAAUUUGUUGUUGUGGGGAAUUAGGACUGUUACCUUGAAAAAAUUAGAGUGUUUAAAGCAGGCUUACGCUUGAAUACAUUAGCAUGGAAUAACGAAAUAGGACAUCGCAUUCUAUUUUGUUGGUUUCUAGGAUCGAUGUAAUGAUUAAUAGGGAUAGUUGGGGGCAUUAGUAUUCAAUUGUCAGAGGUGAAAUUCUUGGAUUUAUUGAAGACUAACUACUGCGAAAGCAUUUGCCAAGGAUGUUUUCAUUAAUCAAGAACGAAAGUUAGGGGAUCGAAGACGAUCAGAUACCGUCGUAGUCUUAACCAUAAACUAUGCCGACUAGGGAUCGGAUGAUGUUAAUUUUUUAAUGACUCAUUCGGCACCUUACGGGAAAC